CGACCGGCGCACGGGUGAGUAACGCGUAUCCAACCUUCCCAUUACUGUGGGAUAACCUGCCGAAAGGCAGACUAAUACCGCAUAGUCUUCGAUGACGGCAUCAGAUUUGAAGUAAAGAUUUAUCGGUAAUGGAUGGGGAUGCGUCUGAUUAGCUUGUUGGCGGGGUAACGGCCCACCAAGGCGACGAUCAGUAGGGGUUCUGAGAGGAAGGUCCCCCACAUUGGAACUGAGACACGGUCCAAACUCCUACGGGAGGCAGCAGCA
Molecule: ribosomal RNA, 264 nt
Filed under: uncultured Prevotella sp.
Lineage: Bacteria; Pseudomonadati; Bacteroidota; Bacteroidia; Bacteroidales; Prevotellaceae
Description: partial 16S ribosomal RNA
Rfam family: Bacterial small subunit ribosomal RNA
Source: RNAcentral